Molecule: non-coding RNA, 355 nt
Organism: Prunus avium (sweet cherry)
Lineage: Eukaryota; Viridiplantae; Streptophyta; Magnoliopsida; Rosales; Rosaceae
Source: RefSeq, a predicted model, not a curated record
CUUCACACCACAGGUGGGCUCUUCCGCUUUGAUUGGUAUAAAUCCAGAUUACACUUUGCCCAGCUUCUGGAAUGUGCAGUCGCUUUCCUAGCAAUACACCUGGCAGCCAAACUUUCAUUUGGUUUUCCCUUUGUAACUGCACUGCUAAUAUAUAAAUGGCGAAGAAGGCACUUGUCAAUGUAUGAGAAUAUAGAAGAUUUUCUACGGAGUAAUAAUAAUCUCAUGCCAAUAAGGUACUCUUACUCGGACAUAAAAAAGAUGGCCAGAGGUUUCAAGGACAAAUUGGGGGAAGGAGGCUAUGGCUCUGUAUACAAGGCAAAGCUCCGCAGCGGUCGCCUUGUAGCCAUCAAGAUGU